GCACGUGAUGACUUAAAUUCUUCACUUUGACCUGAAGUCUACUGAAGAAACACAGUGUCUGAGG
Small nucleolar RNA from Jaculus jaculus (lesser Egyptian jerboa), 64 nucleotides. RefSeq annotates it as small nucleolar RNA SNORD37. The transcript has a single exon. The record is from RefSeq and is a predicted model, not a curated record. NCBI's taxonomy places the organism in Eukaryota, Metazoa, Chordata, Mammalia, Rodentia, Dipodidae.